Capsicum annuum is the source of this 726-nucleotide long non-coding RNA. RefSeq lists it as uncharacterized. Lineage: Eukaryota; Viridiplantae; Streptophyta; Magnoliopsida; Solanales; Solanaceae. The record is from RefSeq and is a predicted model, not a curated record. The transcript has 2 exons.
CAAAUUUUAAUUAGUGAGUAAUUAUAAUUACAAAAGGCUAAAAAAAAAAAAGAAUUGUAAAGAAAUAACAAAGAGUGGGGCGGCGCCAUAUCCCAAUCCAUUAUGGAAUGGAAACAUUAUUAUAUUUAUAUUGGAGGUUAAAGCCCACGCCUAAUCCAAUUUCUAAAAAGGAAAAGGAAAAAGUAUAGAAAGCAUGUGAGGCCAUUUUUCUUAAUUAUUUUAUAUUGAGAAUGUUAAAGAGUAGUAGAUAUAUAUAUUAAGGGCCUUGCCUUAGCAACAGCCAGUGCUCUGCUAACUAUACGAAUCAGAUCUAAAAAAAAAAAAAAGCAAGUUCGUCCUGUGUAAAAGAAAAAAAAAGGGGAAGCUUAAGGUUUGAUCAAAAAAAUUCUUUGGGGUUUAAGAUUCGAUCGAAGGGAGUCCUAUCAAUUGUUCGAGGUGACAAGUUGGUAUUUCAAAAGUUGUACUAGAAUGCAGGUGACAAUGAGGAUUGUGUUGGCUAGAGGAUCCGAGUGGCAUAUUCCUGGUGAGCCCCGCAAUUAUUCGCGUGGGCUAUAGUUUAUUUAUACGUUAUGUUUUUUUUCUUGAAAACUCUUAGUUUGCUCCAUAGUCAUGUCUUUAGAGUUUCGAAUCUUUCGUUAUUAUGGAUUGUGGAAUAUUGAAUUUUCUCUCAUGUUUUGGAGAUGGAUUUCAUGUUGUCAUUUGAUGGUUUUGGUGACUUGUUGAUCA